This is an RNA transcript of Brassica rapa (field mustard), 5322 nucleotides long. RefSeq lists it as uncharacterized. Lineage: Eukaryota; Viridiplantae; Streptophyta; Magnoliopsida; Brassicales; Brassicaceae. The record is from RefSeq and is a predicted model, not a curated record.
UUUUAUAUUUUUUAUUUUUUUUAUUAUAUAUAUAAAUAACAAAGACAUAAGAGUCUUUUGUCACUUAAUAAAUAAGUUAUUUUCGAAAAUGUCUCAUUAGUGGUGGUAAAAAUGAAAAGUGAUACCAUAAAAGUGGUAAACAUGUAAUUUCCCAACCAUAUUUUUUUUGUUGUAACAAAAUUUUAAACGAAAGUGAUGAUGGUUCAUAUUGAUUUUGGGUAUGCAACAAUUUUUAAACUAAAACACAUUCUACUAUGUGGUCUAUUGUUAAUCAUUAAAAAUUGUUCUAGGUCCAUUUAAGGAAAACCAUGGGAUGAACUAAAAAACGUUACAACUUCGGAUUGGUAAAAUAUAAUUUAAGAUUGGUAAAAUAUAAGCUAGCAAAUUAUAAUUGUUUUAGGAAAUGCAAAGUGAGGAAGGUUAGAUUUCGUAAAGCAUUAAUGAUAAAUUAUUUUUAGUUCAUUAUUGUAGCAUAAUACUUAAAAGCUAGAUGUAUUAAUUACUUUUGAGGCAGUCACUUGUAAAUAAUUUGUAAGUCUUUGGGUUAGUUAAAAAAAAUUCUUAGGGUUAGUUUUUAUUUUUACUUAUAUUUUAACAGAUUAGAUAGAUUGAUCGUAUAGUUUUAACUUUUAAGUGAGUGAAAAUAUUGACAAGAAAAAAAAAAGAAUUUACAAAGAAUUUUUUUGAUAAUAAAAUCUAGUAUUUUUCUCUAAUUCACCAAAGUCAUAAAGUCAUGUAAAUUCAUUAAUAUUUAAAUCUUUUCAGAUCCUAAAUUGAAUACACUUCUUAUAAAAUAGAAACUGAGGGAAUAAUAAUCUCAGUCAGAGUCUUAUUAUGAAACAGCCAAAAUAGGUAAACAAUUUAUUAUAUGAUAAAUUUCGUUGAACAAAUUUGCGUUCAAAGUUUUUCAUAUGUAAAAAUUAGAUACGGAAUUUUUUUUUUGGUAACAAAAGAUACGGAAGUUUGUAUAUAUAGCACUUACAUGACCAUACAAUGAUCAGUUCAUAAUAUGCAGCAACAUAAAAUAUAAGCCAAGAAGUUUUAUAGUCAGUUCAUACUCAUCGACAUCAAGAUAACAAGUUCGUGCAACCUAUAAAAACAUAACUAAUGGCAACCAAGAAAUUUGCAUCUCUUUUGCUACCUUUGUUGAUGGUCAUGCUUACUCUCACAUUUAUCUCUAUGGUUUCAGGUGAGAAAGACUGUGAAGCACAUGAUUAUGGCAGUUGUCCUAAGGACAAGGAUUGCACUGCCCAUUGUGAAUCUCUCGGAUUCAAAUUGGGGGGAGUUUGUGUACCAAGGGAAAGGAAAAAUCCUUUCUGUUGCUGCAGGACAAAUUUUAUAAGUCGCCAUAUGUCCACUAAUUAAUCUUGAAUUUAAUUCAAUAUGAAAUUAUGUACUCUCUCUCAUCUAUAUGAAUAAAAAAUAAAAUUCAAACAUGAUAUAUUCUGCAUUAUUCUGGUUUGAUGAUGUAUUCUGAUUUUUUUUUAACGUCUUUAACUUUAUUAAUAUCAAAUCAAUGUAACAUAUUUACAUGAAUCAUAAAUUACAUAAAACAUGUUAAUAAGAACUUAUAAUAGAGAUAGCAUUAACACGAUGCUUUCUAGCGCAUUCGUAAGACAGGCUGGCUCGUUAGCUUUUCUCCACUUUGUUCUUGGUCUUGUAAGAUCUUGCUUGUGGCUUUCAAUUCUUGUGAGUAAAUGCAUUUUUCUCUAAGAAGAUCAUUGGAUACGAUCCAUCUGUUACAUCGCAAUCCAUCCCAAAUACUCCCGCUGCAGGAGAUAACAUGCUUUGUUGUAACUAUAAAUAAUAAGUGAAUAUAUAAUAUAAGAAAUAUAAAUAUUACAUUAAACAAUAAUAAGUAAAUAUAAAAUAUAAUGAAAAAUAAAUAAUAAGUAAAUAUACAAUAUAAGAAAUACAAAUAUUACAUUAAACAAUAAUAAGUAAAUAUACAAUAUAAGGAAAAAUAAAUAAUAUGUAAAUAUAUGAUAUAAGAAAUAGAAAUAUUACAUUAAACAUCAAUCGUAAUGUUAAAAUAAAUAAAUAUACAAUAUGAACAAAUAAAUAAUAAGUAAAUAUACUAUAUAAGAAAUAAAACUAUUUACAUUAAACAUAUAUCAUAAUAUUACCAUUUGAUAUAAAGCAAGAAAUUUCGAAUAAGUAAAUAUACAUAAUAAAAAAAAUAAACAAUAAGUAAAUAUACAAUAUAAUGAAUGAAAAAGUAAAUUAAACAUCUAUCUAAAAAAAUAUAUAGUAAAAUAAAUAAUAAGUAAAUAUACAAUAAAAAAAUAUAUAAAUGUUACAUCAAACAUCUAUCUGAAAAAUGUAAAGUUUUUUCUCGUUUUCUCUAAGGAUAUAUAUGUAAAUAUACAAUAUGUGUAAUUAGAUACGUCUUCUUGAUAUAUGUUAAUUCUUGUGCUAUUAUUUUUUAUUUCCAGAAAAAAAUGGUUAAGCACCAUUAUCACUUAGGUUAAGUACACAAACAACAACAAAAUUCAUAUAUCACAAAAAUGAUCAUAUUAACAUUACAGUACAAUAAUUUUAACUUAAAAAUAUAAAAACUUUCAAUUAUGCAAAACAUAAAUAGAAAGCACUCAUGUAUUCACACAAACAUACAAUUCAGAAUACAACGUCCAAAAUAAUAGUUGUACAGUUAAUAUUUGAAAAAUCAAAAUAGCUCAGUGUGUAACCCGGAUUAACCCCUAGUUUAUAUAAUAUGUGAGUUUAGUGUUUAAUGAUUAAAUUUUAGUAUUUAAGAUAUUGAAGUUAAUCGCCUCUUCUUCGUAUCUGAUGUUUUGAUUCUAUGAGUGAACUAUUUCACUUACAUUCACCAUCCAGUUUUAAAUGGUUUUACAUUUUUUAAGAAGAGUCGAUUUUUUUGCUCAAAAUUUAUGUGUUCGGUAAAUAUUCUUAGAUUAAGAUGAUGGAUAGUGUUAUAUAUAUAUAUGUGUGUAUAUAUAUGUGUUUCACGCGUAUGUAGCUGCAAACGUAGAUAUCAACCGAAUAUUUGGAAUAGCAAGAUUUAGUAGUUUACCAAAAAGGAUUUUCGAAUUGAAUUAAAGAUUAUAUAUAUAUAUAUAUAUAUAUAUAUAUAUUUCAUUUAUGAGGCAGUUUCAGAAAUAAAAUUAUUCAGAUUUUUCAUUUCCAUUAUCGAUAUCAAAUAAUUAAUAUAUAUAUAUAUAUAUAUAUAUAUAUAUAUAUAUAUAUAUAUAUAUAUAUAUAUAUAUAUAUAUAUAUAUCAUAUAUAGUUUGUAAAGAAUACAUAAUUUAAUUGAAAGAUUGUUAUCUUUUUCGUUUAUAUGGCAGUAUUAGAAAAUUAAUAUUCAGAAUAUUCGUUUCUUAUACUCGAUUUUUUAGAACUAAAUGUAUAAUAGAUGAUAAUCCACGCUUUGCGCAGAGUGAGUUUUUAAAAUAUGUCGUAUUUAAAUAUUAUAAACAAUACACAUUUUGUUAUCAAUAAACCUUUUUAAAAUUGAUUAGGAAUGAAUAUUCAGGUACCAUUUGGUUCGGUCUGAAUCUUUGUGGGUUCGGUUCAGAUCUUUGCAGGUUCGGUUUGGAUUUGAGUUCAGAUAACCCAUUUAAUUUUUUAAAGAAAUUAAAGUUCAUAUAUACUUUAAAUUUGGAUAAUAUAUACCCAAAUACUUACACUUAAUAUAAAAUUUUGUUCAGAUUAAAUAUUUAGAUAGGAAAUCAAUAGAUAUUUUAAAUAUUUUUGGCAUUUUGAGUAUUGUUUAGCUAUUUUAAACAUAUACUUUUAACUAUUUUUAUAUAUUUCCAAGUAUUUUAGACAACUUAAGAGCAUCUUAUAUAUUUUGUAUAUUCUUUUAGAUAUUAAAUUAAAAAAAUUAAUAUAUAUAAGUAUAUAAAUCUGGUUCGAAUAUAUUCAGAUACCCUAAAUAUUUUGGUUCAUUCGGUUUCGGUUCUCUAGAUACCAAAAUUUUGAACAUGUUCGGGUAUCUAACCAAUUUCGGUUAAAGUUCGGUACUACUUUUUUGGACUGGAUUUGGUUCGGUUUUUUGGAUUCAAAUUUUUUGCCCAACCAUAUAUUUUUUUAUUGUAACAAAAUUUUAAACGAAAGUGAUGAUGGUUCAUAUUGAUUUUGGGUAUGCAACAAUUUUUAAACUAAAACACAUUCUACUAUGUGGUCUAUUGUUAAUCAUUAAAAAUUGUUCUAGGUCCAUUUAAGGAAAACCAUGGGAAGAACUAAAAAACGUUACAAUUUCGGAUUGGUAAAAUAUAAUUUAAGAUUGGUAAAAUAUAAGCUAGCAAAUUAUAAUUGUUUUAGGAAAUGAAAAUUGAGGAAGGUUAGAUUUCGUAAAGCAUUAAUGAUAAAUUAUUUUUAGUUCAUUAUUGUAGCAUAAUACUUAAAAGCUAGAUAUAUUAAUUACUUUUGAGGCAGUCACUUGUAAAUAAUUUGUAAGUCUUAGGGUUAGUUAAAAAAAAUUCUUAGGGUUAAUUUGUAUUUUUACUUAUAUUUUAACAGAUUAGAUAGAUUGAUCGUAUAGUGUUAACUUUUAAGUGAGUGAAAAUAUUGACAAGAAAAAAAAAAGAAUUUACAAAGAAUUUUUUUGAUAAUAAAAUCUAGUAUUUUUCCCUAAUUCACCAAAGUCAUAAAGUCAUGUAAAUUCAUUAAUAUUUAAAUCUUUUCAGAUCCUAAAUUGAAUACACUUCUUAUAAAAUAGAAACUGAGGGAAUAAUAAUCUCAGUCAGAGUCUUAUUAUGAAACAGCCAAAAUAGGUAAACAAUUUAUUAUAUGAUAAAUUUCGUUGAACAAAUUUGCGUUCAAAGUUUUUCAUAUGUAAAAAUUAGAUACGGAAUUUUUUUUUUGGUAACAAAAGAUACGGAAUUUUGUAUAUAUAGCACUUACAUGACCAUACAAUGAUCAGUUCAUAAUAAGCAGCAACAUAAAAUAUAAAAGCCAAGAAGUUUUAUAGUCAGUGCAUACUCAUCAAGACAUCAAGAUAACAAGUAGGUGCAACCUAUAAAAACAUAACUAAUGGCAACCAAGAAAUUUGCAUCUCUUUUGCUACCUUUGUUGAUGGCCAUGCUUACUCUCACAUUUAUCUCUACGGUUUCAGGUGAAAAAGACUGUGAAGCACAUGAUUAUGGCAGUUGUCCUAAGGACAAGGAUUGCACUGCCCAUUGUGAAUCUCUCGGAUUCAAAUUGGGGGGAGUUUGUGUACCAAGGGAAAGGAAAAAUCCUUUCUGUUGCUGCAGGAUAAAUUUUAUAAGUCGCCAUAUGUCCACUAAUUAAUCUUGAAUUUAAUUCAAUAUGAAAUUAUGUACUCUCUCUCAACUAUAUGAAUAAAAAAUAAAAUUCAAACA